RNAcentral lists this ribosomal RNA (301 nucleotides) under uncultured bacterium. RNAcentral describes it as "partial 16S ribosomal RNA". It matches the Rfam family "Bacterial small subunit ribosomal RNA", at positions 509 to 809 of the family's 1533-position model. The record is from RNAcentral.
CAGUCGCCGCGGUAAUACGUAGGUGGCGAGCGUUGUCCGGAAUCAUUGGGCGUAAAGGGAGCGCAGGCGGGCAUGUAAGUCUUUCUUAAAAGUUCGGGGCUCAACCCCGUGAUGGGAAAGAAACUACAUGUCUUGAGUACAGGAGAGGAAAGCGGAAUUCCCAGUGUAGCGGUGAAAUGCGUAGAUAUUGGGAGGAACACCAGUGGCGAAGGCGGCUUUCUGGACUGCAACUGACGCUGAGGCUCGAAAGCCAGGGGAGCGAACGGGAUUAGAUACCCGUGUAGUCCAUGUCUCUUAUACA